Long non-coding RNA from Anas platyrhynchos (mallard), 1407 nucleotides. RefSeq lists it as uncharacterized. Lineage: Eukaryota; Metazoa; Chordata; Aves; Anseriformes; Anatidae. The record is from RefSeq and is a predicted model, not a curated record.
GGGGGGUGGCAGGGUGGCAAGGGGAGAGACAAGCAGGACUCUGGCAGCUUUGCAGAAGGAAAUGACCUUGAAUUCAAGUUCUGCAAAAUAGAUACAUGUGUCGCCUUUUCAGUUGGUUUCUCAAUGUAAAGAAAACAUACUCUACUCUUAAUAUUUCUGUGGUUCCACUGCUCUUUUGAAUUCAAGACGGGAGAUCAACUUGCAGAAGCAGUCUUAAAACUUGAAAGAAGAAAUUCAGAAGGACCAAGAGAACAUGCUCUAUGUGGAGUAUAGACGUGUAUGAUAGGGAAACAUUACUGGAAGUUUAACAUUUUUAGUAGAAGCUAUAUGACAAAACUCUAUGCAAUUUCUUCAUAAUGCUUCAUACUUCUUGGUCUGUAUCACAAGUGGCACUCACUAGGUUUUGCAGUUUCCUUUUUCUAGACAUUUCCAAACAGCAUAGUUAUGUCCUAUAGUUCAUUGAUAGUUAAUAAUACAAAUUUUAUAUGUCAUCAAUCACUAUUCAACAAAUAAGUAAAAGUAGAUCAAAAGAAAGCAGAUGUAAGCGCAACAUGAAGUAAGAUAGUUGAAUUUUAUAAAGGUACCACUAAUAUGUGUUACAUGUAAUAGUAGCAACUUUCCAAGUAUCAACUUGCUCAAACUAUAAGAUAAAGUGAAAAUCUAUAAAAACCUCUGUAGAACUGCUCCAUUUUAAAAUGGUACUUUUCAAGGGGAUUCUCAUAAUGCUUCAAACUCUGUCAUGAUUUUCUUCACACUCCUCAGCAAAUUAGUCAGUUCUUUUUAUAAGUAAACAAUGGUUCUUGUGUCAACUGUAUAAAGAGAAAAAAAUAUACUUUUAUUACUGGAAAGAUUUUUAACUUUUUUGGGGGCUGGUUUAAAAACUUGAGGAUUCCCUUUAGCUUAUGAAUUCAUAGCAUUCUCAUUCAUAAUAUCUUAUGCUAAAAUGUCUAGUAAAUUUUCAUUCAGUACUCUCUGGGCAUUUUAAUACGCUUUCAGUAGCACCUUUAUGGAUGUGUAAAAUUUUGAUUUCGCUAUUAUAAUGUGGAACUCAGUAAAUCAAUUCAUAUAGCUGUGUCAAAUGAAAUACCUUUAGUUGUACCAAACUAUGAGUUCUGAAUACCUGGAAUAUACAAGGAAUAUGCUGAAUAUCAAACAGAUGUUUCUGUGAAUGUUGAAUUUUUUCUGCUGUGGUACGUGUGAGUUAUUGGUAUUCUUCAAUGUAUUUUUAUUGACAAUUUCAGCAUGCAAUUGUAGAUGGGUUCUAAGAAUUGGAAUAGUGCAGGUGACAAAACAAAGGGUGGAAAUAAAGUAAAAAGUAAAAUGAAAUAGGCUGAAUUUCAUGUAAACUGUGUAAUUAUUUGAACUUCAAUUAAAUAAGUAAAUAAAAUGUUUUCUUCAGAAAUGCAA